RNAcentral lists this ribosomal RNA (791 nucleotides) under uncultured bacterium. RNAcentral's name for it is "bacterial SSU rRNA". It matches the Rfam family "Bacterial small subunit ribosomal RNA", at positions 8 to 796 of the family's 1533-position model. The record is from RNAcentral.
AGAGUUUGAUCAUGGCUCAGAACGAACGCUGGCGGCGUGCUUAACACAUUGCAAGUCGAGUGCGCGGUUGUAGCAAUACAACUGGCGCACGGCGCACGGGUGCGUAACACGUGGGUAAUCUGCCGUGAAGUCCGGGAUAACUUGCUGAAAGGCGAGCUAAUACCGGAUGUGAACGCAAGUUCAAAGUUGGGGACCGUAAGGCCUGACGCUUCACGAUGAGCCCGCGGCCUAUCAGCUAGUUGGUGAGGUAACGGCUCACCAAGGCUAAGACGGGUAGCUGGUCUGAGAGGACGACCAGCCACACUGGAACUGAGACACGGUCCAGACACCUACGGGUGGCAGCAGUCGAGAAUUUUUCUCAAUGGGCGAAAGCCUGAAGGAGCGACGCCGCGUGGGGGAUGAAUGGCUUCGGCCCGUAAACCCCUGUCAUUUGCGAACAAGUUGAUUCACCUAACACGUGAAGCAUUGAUUGUAGCGGAAGAGGAAGGGACGGCUAACUCUGUGCCAGCAGCCGCGGUAAUACAGAGGUCCCAAGCGUUGUUCGGAUUCACUGGGCGUAAAGGGUGCGUAGGCGGCCAGGUAAGUUUGAUGUGAAAUCCCGCAGCUCAACUGCGGAACUGCAUUGAAUACUAUUUGGCUCGAGGAAUGGAGGGGAGACUGGAAUUCUCGGUAGCAGUGAAAUGCGUAGAUAUCGAGAGGAACACCAGUGGCGAAGGCGAGUCUCUUGACAUUUCCUGACGCUCAGGCACGAAAGCCAGGGGAGCAAACGGGAUUAGAUACCCCGGUAGUCC